This 9926-nucleotide long non-coding RNA is filed under the name Malus domestica (apple). RNAcentral's name for it is "long non-coding RNA (MDOM_LNC012730)". Lineage: Eukaryota; Viridiplantae; Streptophyta; Magnoliopsida; Rosales; Rosaceae. The record is from RNAcentral.
AAGAUCCGCGCAAAUCCACCUUCAAAGAUCAAGCCCACGGCCCCUUGAAGAAACUUCCAACAGUUCAUCCAAGAUCAAGCCUCGAUGGCCCUUGGAUCAACGAAACAUCCACAAAUCAAUACCUUACGGAGAUCGAAUUAGAGAAUCAAAAUAGAGAGAGAUUGUAACCCAAAAUCAUCAAAUACAAAUAUUAUUUUGUGCACGUUGUUCUUGUCUCUUUCGUUUCAGGAAAUUUUCGUGUUCACAAAUUGGCACGCCCAGUGGGACUAUCUCUACCUCUCAUCUUUUUCUCCGUUCAAGAAAUUUAAGCACACUUCCAAAAUCAAUGGCAUCAAGCAAAGGACAAGCCGUUCUCAUAAAGGGAAGAAGCCUGAGCACUUUCGCCAUGAACGGAGCAUCCAUUGGCGCCACAACCGCUCCUCAACAUGCCACUUCAAAGUUGGUGCCGCUAAAGGAGCAAGGGGAGCAUCAAAGACGCGAGUCCGUCAUCAACCUGACCUCGCUGGGGGCACCGAAGCAUAAUGCUGAGGCACACAAGAUGACUUCCCAAAGUAGCCAACAACGUUCUUCGUCAGCAUCCUGGUUGUUUAAAGGAAAUUCACGUCUAUUGGUUGCACAAGUCAUGACCAUCGGCGUUACCUCCAUCGAAGAACAACUGGCUCAAAUGAAUGAAGCGAUCACAAGGCUAACACGGAUUGUGGAAGAAAAAGACUUGCAAAUCGCUGCACUCGUCAGCCGAUUAGAGCCACAGGACGGCGAGAACCCCAACCCAGAGGAUGAUCCACUAAAGAGAUAAGUUGGCGAAGAAGAUGAGCCUCCGGUGGAGAGAAUCGAUGUGAAACCGGAGCCCGACCAAGCAGCGGCACUCAUGGGAUCUCUUUCUAUCCAACAGCUGCAGGAGAUGAUCACCAACACCAUCAAGGCACAGUACGAAUGGAGCUCACAUACCUUUUUGUUCUACUCGAAGCACUACUCCAAGAAGAUUGAUGCCCUGAAGAUGCCAAUGGGUUAUCAACCACCAAAGUUCAUGCAGUUUGAUGGAAAAGGAAACCCGAAACAGCACGUUGCCCACUUUGUUGAAACUUCCAACAACACAGGGACCGAAGAAGACUACCUUGCCAAGCAGUUUGUGCGCUCGCUGAAAGGAAACGCCUUUGAGUGGUACACAGACCUAGAGCCUGAGUCCAUUAAUAGUUGGGAGCAAUUAGAGCGGGAAUUCGUCAACCGCUUCUAUAGCACCAGCCGCACUGUGAGCAUGCUAGAGCUAACGAUCACAAAGCAAUGGAAAGAUGAGCCGAUCAUUGACUACAUCAACAGAUGGCGCACUCUAAGCCUCGACUGCAAAGACAGGCUCUCGAAGACCUCUUCAAUCGAGAUGUGCAUCCAAGGUAUGCAAUGGGGUUUGCAAUACAUCCUUCAAGGCAUUAAACCACGGACCUUCGAAGAGCUAGCCACCCGCGCCCAUGACAUGGAGUUAAGCAUCGCCUAUCAUGGGAAGAAAGAACCGAUCUCUGACUACAAGAUUGACAAAGUUCUUGACACAAAGGUGGAAAAGGCUGCAUGGAAAUCCACCAAGGAAGCAAUGAGGGCCAACACAACUCCCGUCAAAAUCCCUACACGAGGCAAGGCGAUUCAAACCGAAACUUUUCGUGAUCAAGAGAUGCGUAGACGCACUUUGAAGGAGCUUGAGGAGAAAACUUAUCCAUUCCCUGACUCUGAUGUGGUUGCCAUGCUAGAAGACUUGCUGGAAAAGAAGGUGAUCGGCUUGCCUGAGUGCAGACGACCAGAAGAGAUGAAUCGCACCGACAGUCCAAGGUACUGUAAAUUCCACCGCUUCAUCAGUCAUUCGACAGAAAAGUGCUUCGUGCUGAAAGAUCUCAUCAUGAAGCUAGCUCAGAAAGGAAUCAUCGAGCUAGAUCUUGACGAUGUGGUGAAGUCAAACUAUACCACCGUCACUUCUGGCUUUUUCGACUCAAAGUCUUUACCUCAACCGUCGGGGGCAUCCUCUAAGUCAAGCAAAGUUGAAGGAUGGACUCAAGUCACUCCUAAGAAAUUGCACAAGAAGCAUACAUCUCCUCCACAAGUCCGCCAAUCGGAAAGGGGGCAAAGCAGCUCUUGUCAACCUUCAAAGCAACAUGAACGUGUUGAAGAUGAUGAAAUUUUGACACAUAGAUCGUCCAUCCCCAUCACGAUGCGUGACUUCUUUCCUGAAGACUUCUUCAAUCACUCAGUCAAGGCUCCUUGCUAUGAAGAUUGCGAGGAACGACUCUCCCGGAUCCUUUGACAAACUAACAAGGCUCCUCGCCUGCACGAGCCUAAACUGCAUGGCGCAACGCUCCUGGUCUGCACGAGCAUAAAAGGCAACACCAACGCUCCUGAUUCGCACGAGCAUAAAAGGCAACACUAACGCUCCUGGUCUGCACGAGCAUAAAAGGCAACACCAACACUCCUGGCCCGCAAGAGCAUAAACUGUGUACGGUAAAAUCAUCAUCAAAAUCGCCAAAAGAAAUUCAUCGCUCAUUUGAACUACGUUACGACUUGAUCUCUUCUUUGGAGGGGUACAUAAGCAGCUCGAAUGUUCAAUUUUUCGAGUUCAGUCACAUCAAAAUAAAAGAAUAAAUGUUUUAUUAAAGAAGGUCAAUUUUAUUACAAAUUUAUUUUGUUAAGAAAAUUUGCAAUUUUCUUUGUACAAAAUUAAAUUACAGUUUCUUCGAAAAAAAUGAAUACAUAUGUUAUUAUGUAUUUACAAAAAAAAAAAAAAAAAAAAAGGAAAUAUAUAUAUAUAUGUCUAGGCCCAGCAGCAACAAAAGGCACCAGCCCAGGCCCUGUCAUCUCCUUUUUUGCCCUUAAACCCACCUUCAAUUCUCCUAUACAUUUCACAAUGCAGAAACCACCAUACAGUCACUAAUCUGCGAGCGAACCGGCAGCAGAGAGUCCGAGGCAGCGACUCACCAUCUAUGGCAACCGAGUCUCGUGGCCCGAGUUCUAAAGCCGCGACCUUUAUCCUGGUCCUGGUCCUCUUAGCUACUUUGUACAGCUCGUGCCACGAAGCCGAGUCUCGGAUCCGUCAAGGUCGCGGGCUGUCGGCAGACAAAGGAGGAACAACGGCGGCAAUCAUAGUUAGAUCCAGAACUGCAACGACAUGUUGUCGGAAUCGCAAUGCUCCCGCAACCCUAUGUGCUGGUGGUGCCGCAACGACGUCCUCAACGACAUGUGUUUCCCGAAGCUUGAGGCUUUGCAGUUGCCAAUUCAGGUUUUCACUUGCAAAAUUGACUACUCCCGACUCAGCAUAAAUCAUCACAACAGCGUGAGGACAGACAACAAGAUGCAGAAGCACAUCGGCAUAGCAUAGCAAGCAGCAACGAACAGCAACCACGUCACCAACGCCUGUCUCUCUCUCAGCCACAAACAACAGCAAACAGUCUUCUUCCUCAACUCGCCAUUGACGCCUUGAAAUCACGGCAAAGCAGCAACACCUCGGUUCCCUCGAUGUUUUUCGGGGACUCACGGUUGUGUGAAGUGGCAAGAACAUGCAACAUCACCACUGUUAACCUGCUGCUGCUUCAUCUUGACAAAUUCCUCGCUGCAUAGCUUGGAUUCGUUGGAGUAGCAUCUUCGAGCCGCCUCAUCUAGUGCCAUUGCUACUGCAGUUGAAGAGUGUUAGGGUUUAGAUUAGGUUUGGUCUCGGUUGAGCUGAGUUGCAGUUGUAUCGAGGGGACAAGACUUCGAUUACAUACGAUCUGGUUGAGCAAAUGCACUUAUGGUAUGUGAGUACGGUGAAGGUUUGAGAUGGAGGGGAAAGGUGAUGUCGCUGUCACUGGCGCCGAUGCGGCGGUGAAGGUGGAGAGGCCAGCUGGAGUCGAAGGGCUCGAGAAUGGUGGUUGCGAUGAUUGGAGGUUGACGUCACUCUCUCUCCCGCAGCACCAUGAGCAGCUUCGCAUCCUGGAAACUUCUCGCAAACUUGCCGUCGUCGGAAAAGCAAGCUGACUUCCUCCACGACCAAACAGCCACAACCUUACUGGUGCAUGCUCCAUCUCCGUCGUCUUCGUUCUUCCUGCAAAAUCCUCUACCCAUCACCCAAAUUUAUACAUAAAAAUAUAUAAUUAAAAAAAAUGGAUGGUGGAGCAAAGUGGUGUUGGCACCACGUGAAAAAAAAAAGGGUGCAUCAGGCACCAUGUGCAAAGAAAAAAAAAAUAUAAUAAUAAUAAAAAUAAUAUAUAUAUAAAUGGAUGGUGCAUCUGGCACCAUGUGCCAGCAAAAAGAAAAAAAAAGAGAGAAAAAAAAAAUGUGUGAUAGUGGUAGUGCCAACAAAAAGAAGAAAAAAAUGAGAAGGGAGUGGUAAUGGUAGUGCCAGCAAAAAGAAGAAAAAAUAAAUAAAUAAAUAAAAUAAUAAUAAACAAAAUGAUGAAAAGGGAAUGGAAUGGUGGUCAGCACCGAAAAAAAAUAUAAUAAAAAAAAAUGAAAAGCUGAGAUUGCACCAUAUGAAAAAGAAUAAAAAAAUAAAAAAAUAAAAAAUAAAAAAAUAAAAAAUAAAAAAAUAAAAAAUAAAAAAAUAAAAAAAUAAAAUAUAAGAAAUGAUAGGUGGGAUGGUGCGGAUUGCACCAUCUGAAAAGAAAAAUAUAUAUAAAAAAAAAUAGUUGGUGGUGCAUGAUUUAAUAAAAAAUAAAUAAAUAAAAAAAAGAAAUAAAAAAAAAUGCAUUGAGAGAAGUAAAAUCCAUUUUAUUUAUUUCUCUGGAAAGAUUACAUAAAAUUGCAUUCUACAUGCAAACAAAAAAAAAAAAAUUUACAAAUGUGCAAGCAGCAAAUAUAAGGGGGCCUUAAUUGAUCAGAUGGCGCCUUAUCACUCGACGGAACUCCGGGAAGAAGAGGAGCCGGAGGUUGAUCAUUUGGAGCUUCAAUACGCGGUACAGCCCCAGAAGACGAAGGCAAAUGCUGUUGGAACAAACCCACAAACCUCUGAUGAUCAAGUAAAAUCGGACCAUCGGAUUCUUGCAUCUGGUCAAUCUUCCUUUUCAUGUUUGUAGCAUAGUUAUGCGCAAGCCUGUGUAACUGUUUAUUCUCAUGCUUGAGCCCUCUAAUCUCUUGUUUUAGACUCAUCACUUCAGCCGCCAAUGAUUCAACUUGACGGGUUCGAGCAAAUAGGCGUUGGGCCAUAUUAGACACAGAACCUGCACGCUGCACACUGAGAGCCAGAGAAUCCUUAACAGCCAACUCAUCAGAUCGUUUGGAAAGCAGUCUGUUAUCUUUGGGAGUGACAAGGUUCCAGGCCACCACCGCAGCGGUCAUAUCAUUAUUCAUCACCGAGUCCCCAACGGUAAGAGGACCAGUAGGAGAUAUGAAGGAUGGGCGCCAUAUGUUGUCUGGAGAAGGCGGGACUGCCUCUUCACCAAGAUUCAAGUCAAAACGAUGGUCGGAGGGUCUAGACAUUUUCAAAGUGUUGAAGAAGUGCAAGAAGGGAGUCUCUACAAGCAAAAAAUUCAAAUGUGCUUUGAAACGAACUGCAUGCCUCUAUAAAAAAUCAACACUCGACGGGAUUUCAGAGAUCGAAGAGGCGAGCUCAGAAUUCGAAGAGGCCAAUUCAAAAAUCGAAGAGGCAAGCUCAGAAAUCGGAAAGGCAUCUUGCUUUUCCAGACGCGUCAACACCUGUCACAUGCACACUCAGCUUGGCGGAAAUUACGGACAAUUUGUCGAAGAUUUUUGAUAAAGAAGAAAGCACGUGAAGCCAUAUUGAUCAAUCACUCAAUGGUUGCCGACAUGAGUGAAAGAAUAGUACCUCUACAGGGAUUAAAGGACUUCCUAUAACUGUCCACCUUCACCCUCCAUACCAAGGCAGACAUACAGAACCUUUCUUCAUCUCCAAAAAUGCUUUCCCAACGAAGCCUCUCGAGUCACUCAGUGUUCCUUAUUCCUUGGGGUACCUCUGUAAGCAAAUGACUCCAAAGCAAAAGUAUCUCAUAUCACCAGGGUAGAAAGCAAGAGUAUCUCAUAUCAUGCUUUUUCCUUGUCCUUGCCUUUGUCCUUGUUCUUACCUACAAAGACAAGGAUAAAGAAAACAAUAUGCCGGAACCUCCACUCAAACUCGGGUAAGGAACCGACUGCUUAGAACCCUUCCCUGAUUGCCUCCCUAGCACUGCUCUCGAGUACUCGUCUCCUACUGCUGCUGUACUUCCAAAAAAGCUGCCACAUCUGCCUGAAGAACAGAUAAGGCAAGUGAAAAUGAUACCUUGCAGCACGUGGAGACAACGUGCAGAAGAAACAAGCAGAGAAGAAUGCAGCCUGCACAGUCAACUCAGCAGAAGGAGUCUGAGAUGAGGAACUCAAGAAGAUGCCCAUCUGCGUGAGGAACAGAUAAAGGAAAUGAAAAUGAUACGUUGAAGCAUGUGGAGACAAGUGCAACAAAGCACGUACUGAUUCAUCCGCUACUUCUUCAAAAUCAAAAGUAUCUCAUAUCAUCAGGGUUGCAAUCACUCUGGACGGUAAACUCAUUUUGACCCUCAAAUUCUUGGGUCGACUUACUAGGCGUUGUGGGCUGCACAUGCCGAUUCACCACCCUUGAAUCAAAUCCUUAAAGAUCAAGUCACCAACUGGAAGAAGAGCCCAUCAAUCUUGAAGAUCAUACCGUUGACUAAACUGCUCAGGUGUGAAUUAGAAAGAUUGAACAAAGCAACAAGUAGUCACAUUCACCUCGUGCCUGUUUGCCAUGUGUUCGAGUCAACCUUCAAGAAUCAAGCCUUAACGGCCCUUGAAGAAGCUUCCAGCCAAAUUCAAGAUCAAGCCUCGACGGCUCUUGAGGAAAUCACAAGUCCGAUUCAACAUCAAGUGUCUACCACCCUUGAAUCAAAUCCAGUUCAAGAAUAAGCUGUGGAAAGUCAACAAUUAGAGGAAACCAGAAAAUCCUCCAACCCAGUUCAAGAAUAAGCUGUGGAAAGUCAACAAUUGGAGGAAUCCAGAAAGUCCUCCAACCUAGUUCAAGAUCAAAGCUAUGGAAAGUCAACAAGUGCAACAAAAUACAUGCCGAUUCAUCCACUACCAAAGCCAAGGAUCAUCUACCACAUGAAACUCCUUGUGGUCCAAUCAACGUUCAAGAGCAAGCCUCAACGGCCCUUGAAGAAAUCUCCAGCCCAAUUCAAGAUCAAGCCUCAAUGGCCCUUGGAUCGACAUCUACAGUAAGGGACUUCAAAACGCAUCUCCUACACGUGACAAGCACAUGUAUACGACGCGCCUUGAAGUGGGGGCAUUUGUAGACAUCGAAAUUUCGGUAAAUAAAUGUUGACCGAUAAAUCAAAGUUUCAACGCUCAUGUAUUACAUAAAUUUUACACGUAGCGUGUGUCUAAACAAAAAAUCGAAAUAAGUUGGAAAAGUCAUCAAACAGGACACGUGUCAACACCUGGCAGAAACGACUUAUUUCAUCUGGAAUAUUAUAUUCAAAAUUAGGCCUUGGAAAAUUCUAUAAAUAGAAGGCUAAUUCAUUUAUUUAAAGGGGGACCAAAUUCAUAUUAGGCAAAAAAAACCUUGAAGCUCUGAAACUUUAAAACUCCGAAUCUCUCAAGCAUCCAGGUUCCCGAAGAAUCAAGAAAGCGUUCUUCGUUCUUUGUUCAUCGUUCUUCCAAGAUCAAGCUCCGACGGCCCUUGGAUUAACAAUCACCAAUUCAAGAUCAAGCCCCGACGGCACUUGAAGAAAGUGUUCUUCGUUCUUCGUUCAUCGUUCUUCUAAGAUCAAGCCCCGACGACCCUUGUAUUAACAAUCACUAAUUCAAGAUCAAGCCCCGACGGCCUUUGAAGAAAGUGUUCUUCGUUCUUCGUUCAUCGUUCUUCCAAGAUCAAGCCCCGACGGCCCUUGGAUCAACAAUCACCAACUCAAGAUCAAGCCCCGACGGCUCUUGAAUAAAGCGUUCUUCGUUCUUCGUUCAUCGUUCUUCCAAGAUCAAGCCCCGACGACCCUUGGAUCAACAACAUCAACAAAUCCACACAUCCAACCGUUCUUCAAGAUCAAGCCCAAAAGCCCUUGAAGAUCCGUUCAUCACCGUUAUUCAAGAUCAAGCCUUAACGGCCCUUGAAGAAACACUCAUCCUCAAUAUCAAGCCCCAACGGCUCCUUAAAGAUCCGCGCAAAUCCACCUUCAAAGAUCAAGCCCACGGCCCCUUGAAGAAACUUCCAACAGUUCAUCCAAGAUCAAGCCUCGACGGCCCUUGGAUCAACGAAACAUCCACAAAUCAAUACCUUACGGAGAUCAAAUCAGAGGAUCAAAAUAGAGAGAGAUUGUAACCCAAAAUCAUCAAAUACAAAUAUUAUUUUGUGCACGUUGUUCUUGUCUCUUUCGUUUCAGGAAAUUUUCAUGUUCACAAUGCGACAUGACAAAUGCACACUUGUAACAAAAAAUAACGCAUUUGUCAUGUUUGUUUGAAUAGGAAAAUGGUUUGGUUUUCUCUAUUUUAAUCAAGAAAUGACUUUUAUGGUUUUAUUUCUAAUUUUUAGAUUGAAUAAAGUUGAACAGAAUGAAAGUAUAGAAUGUAAGAGAAGAACUCUAAUCUUUAGAUUAAAUAAAGUAAAAGAGAAUGAAAAUAUAGAAUGCGGAAGAAGAAAAAAGACAUACAAAACAUGGGUACACUAACUAUUUAUGAAAUUGAACAGAGAACAUUAUUUCUAAAAUUGACUAUUUAUGAAACUGAACACGAGCACACUAUUUCUGAAACUGAUUAUUUAUAAAACUAAACAUGGGUACAUUAACUAAACACGGGUACACAAUUUCUAGAACUAACUACACUAUUUAUAAAACGGACUAUUUAUGAAAUUGAGCACGAGUACACUAUUUCUGAAAUUGAACAUGGAUACACUAUAUCUGAAAUUGACUAUUUAUUAAACUGAACACAAGUACACUAUUUCUGAAAUUGACUAUGUUUGUACCAUACUUGACAAAUCCCGAAACUACUGAGCACCGGUCAACGUUAUACCGUCAAGGAUCGAGAAGAGUUUCCCUCCAACCAGGAGGCCAAUCAUAGCGCGACAUGUGUCAACAUCAGAAGCCAAUCACAACACGACACAUGUCAAUGUCAGAAUGAAACUAGAAACUCUCUUUUAUAAAUAAAGAUCAUUCUCUCACAAUAUUUCUGAAUGUCAUUUGUACUAAAUCAUUCACUAGUACUCACUAAGGGAGAGCUAGAACCUAUGUACUUGUGUAAACCCUUCACAAUUAAUGAGAACUCCUCCACUCUGUGUACGUAGCCAAUCUGGGUAAACCACGUACAUCUUGUGUUUGCUUCCCUAUCUCCAUCCAUUUAUAUACUUAUCCACACUAGUGACUGAAGCAAUCUAGCGAAGGUCACAAACUUGACACUUUCUAUUGUACCAAAAUCCCCACUGAUUUUGUGCAUCAACAGACUAUUUAUGAAAAUGAACAUGAGUACACUAUUUCUGAAACUGACUAUUUAUAAAACUAAACAUGGGUACACUAACUAAACACGGGUACACAGUUUCUAUAACUGACUACACUAUUUCUAAAACUGACUACAUUAUUUGUAAAACUGACUAUUUAUAAAACUGAGUACGAGUACACUAUUUAUGAAACUGAACACGGGUACACUAUUUCUAAACUUGACUAUUUAUGAAAUUGAACCGGAAUAAUACAGAUAAUAUAUAGUACAAUUUAUAUAUAACAAAUAUAGUAUUAUAAUGCAUCAAUUGAAUGAAAUCAAAUUGCGAAUAUAAUUUCAUGGAUUUACAAAUCAAAUGCAACUAAGACUAUUUAUGAAACUAAACCAACACUAUUUAUGAAACCGAGCCCUAAUUAUGAAACCGAAAUAACACUAUUUAUGAAACUAAACACUCUCAAAUGCAAGCUUGUUGGACAUCUCAUUGACCUCUUUCUUGAGAUUGAGAAGUAAUUGCCUCUGGCAAUCCAUAGCUGACUUCUCUUUUAAAUCUCGAU